This 11006-nucleotide long non-coding RNA is filed under the name Nicotiana benthamiana. Its description in RNAcentral is "long non-coding RNA (NBEN_LNC021729)". Lineage: Eukaryota; Viridiplantae; Streptophyta; Magnoliopsida; Solanales; Solanaceae. The record is from RNAcentral.
UUUCAAGACCUGAAAUGUAAAGACUUGAAAAAUAUUCCCCUCGUUAUACAGGUGGAUGCCUAUUUAUCUAUAGCAUGAAAAAUAUUCCUAUUAUUAUACAGGUGGGCACCUAUUAUCUAAAGAUAUGAAAAAUAUUUCUCUUGUUAUAUAGGUGGGCACUAUUUAUCUAAAACAUGAAAAGUAUUCCUCUUAUUAUACAGGUGGGUGCCUAUUAUCUAAAAACAUGAAAAAAUAUUCCUCUUGUUAUACAUGUGGGCGCCUAUUUAUCUAAAGACAUGAAAAGUAUUCCUCUUAUUAUAUAGGUGGGUCCUAACUUCAUUAACAACUAUAAAAAUAAAAUGCAUUUGGCAAUGAUAUAAGAAAUAUAUAUUUUGGCAAUGUUUAUACAAGAAGGACCAUUCGGGUCGAAAUAAAUUAAAUGUCCUUUUGAGGAAGGAUUCACUUCAAUAUCCUAUUCGAGGGCGGAUAGACCCAUCGUAUCCUAUGCGAGGGUGGAUAGACCCAUCGUAUCCUAUUUGAGAGCGUUUAGAACCAAGUAUAUCCUAUUCGAAGGCGGAUGAACCCAAAUUAUCCUAUUCGAAGGCUGAUGAACCUAAAUUAUCCUAUUCGAAGGCGAACGAACCUAAAAUAUCCUAUUCGAAGGUGGAUGAACCUAAAAUAUCCUAUUCGAAGGCGGAUUAACCUAAAAUUAUCCUAUUCAAAGGCAGAUGAACCUAAAAUAUCCUAUUCGAAGGCGGAUGAACCUAAAAUUAUCCUAUUCGAGAGAAGAUGAACCUAAAAUAUACUCUUCGAAGGUGGAUGAACCUAAAAUUAUCCUAUUCGAGGGCGGAUGAACCCAAAUUAUCCUAUUCUAAGGCGGAUGAACCUAAAAUAUCCUAUUCGAGGGCGGAUGAACCCAAAUUAUCCUAUUCAAAGGCGGAUGAACCUAAAAUAUCAAAGGCGGAUAAACCUAAAAUAUCCUAUUCGAAGGAGGAUGAACCCAAAAUAUCCUAUUCGAAGGCGGAUGAACCUAAAAUAUCCUAUUCGAAGGCGGAUGAACCUAAAAUAUCCUAUUCAAGGCGGAUGAACCUAAAAUAUCCUAUUCGAAGGCGGACAAACCUAAAUUAUCCUAUUCAAGGGCGGAUGAUCCUAAAAUAUCCUAUUCAAAGGCGGAUGAACCUAAAAUAUCCUAUUCGAAGGUGGAUGAACCUAAAAUUAUCCUAUUCGAAGGCGGAUGAACCUAAAUUAUCCUAUUCGAAGGUGGAAAAACCUAAAGUAUCCUAUUCGAGGGCGGAUGAACCUAAAUAUCCUACUCGAAGGCGGAUGAACCUAAAAUUAUCCUAUUCGUGGGCGGAUGAACCCAAAACAUCCUAUUCAAAGGCAGAUGAACCUAAAAUAUCAUAUUCGUAGGCGGAUGAACCUAAAAUUAUCCUAUUCGAGGUCGGAUGAACCCAAAUUAUCCUAUUCGAAGGCGGAUGAACCUAAAAUAUCCUAUUCGAGGUCGGAUGAACCUUAAAUAUCCUAUUCGAAGGCGGAUGAACCUAAAAUAUCCUAUUCGAAGGCGGAUGAGCCUAAAAUAUCCUAUUCGAAGGUGAAUGAACCUAAAAUAUCCUAUUCGAAGGCGGAUGAACCUAAAAGUAUCCUAUUCGAAGGCGGAUGAACCUAAAUUAUCCUAUUCGAAGGUGGACAAACCUAAAGUAUCCUAUUCGAGGGCGGAUGCAGCCAAAAUAUCCUAUUCGAAGAUGGACAAACCUAUAAUAUCCUAUUUGAGGGCGGAUGAACCCAAAAUAUCUUAUUCGAAGGUGGACAAACCUAUAAUUAUCCUAUUUGAGGGCGGAUGAACCCAAAUUAUAUUAUUCGUAGGCGGAUGAACCUAAAUUAUCCUAUUCGAAGGAGGAUGAACCUAUAAUUAUCCUAUUCGAGGGCGGAUGAACCCAAAUUAUCCUAUUCGAAGGCGGAUGAACCUAUAAUAUCCUAUUCGAAGGUGGACAAACCUAAAGUAUCCUAUUCAAGGGCGGAUGACCUCAAAUUAUCCUAUUCGAAGGCGGAUAAACCUAAAAUAUCCUAUUCGAAGGCGGAUGAACCUAAAAUAUCCUAUUCGAAGGUGGAUGAACCUAAAAUAUCCAAUUUGAAGGCGGAUAAACCUAAAAUUAUCCUAUUCGAGGGCGGAUGAACCCAAAUUAUCCUAUUCGAAGGCGGAUGAAUAGAAGGCGGACAAACCUAUAAUAUCCUAUUCCAAGGCGGAUGAACCUAAAAUAUCCUAUUCGAAGGUGGAAAAACCUAUAUCUAAAUAUCCUAUUCGAAGGUGGACAAACCUAUAAUAUCCUAUUCGAGGGCGGAUAGACCCGUUUUCAAAAUUUGAAAUUAUCUUACUUCCGAUUGUAUCUCUUAAAAUUUUGCUGUCGUGCUAUCCCUUAAAGCUUGAAUUGAUUUCCUCGUUCCUCCGAGAAAAUUUUCGAAAAUGGCAGAAAAUUUUCUGCCCCAGUUUUGGUGCUCUUCCUUGUGGCAUGUUUUUUCGCCAUUAAUAAUAUUUCCUUUUCCUGCUUCAAAUCAAAGAAAAUUUGUUAGUGUUAAAACUUGGUGAGUGGUCGUGCCACUCCUGCUGGGGAUGGUUUUUCCCUUACUCCCUUCCCCGCUUUGUGUUUCAUUAUGCUAUCAAAGCUUGCAGGGGAUGAAUUUUCCUUUUCUUCCUUCCCCGCUCUGUGUUGUCCGACCCUCUUGGAAAUUGGUCGCAAAAUCUAUUGGGUAUGCUCCUACAUCUCGAUUAUCUGCUUGGGACCCUCUUGGAAUAUGGUCCACAAUUUUCUCAACUGUUGUUUUCCUGUUUUUCUCCAUAUUUCCUUGACAUUUUAGAUCAAUACAUUAUUUGACCUUGCAACAAACCUCUUUUUGCCUUGUCUCUGGCCUGUCCUCUUCCCAUUUUUCUUUGUACCAUUUUGGCAACUGGUAGUAAGCUCUGAAAGAUCUUUCUCAAAAAUAAAUUUCUGAAAAAAGUCUUUUAAACAAAGAAAUGAAAAGGUAGAAAAAGAGAAAAUCUUUCUGAACAAAUGCUGGGGAAAAGAAAAUAAAGGAACUUAUCUGGGUGGUAUAACCGAUCCAAACGACCAGGUCGUGCAUUCCGGAUUAAUCAACACAGUUUAUUUGUAUCAAUCAAUCUUUCUGAUGUCUUGAUGGGGAUAAACAGGUUCCCAAAUCCUCGAAAAUGCGGAUCCCUUCCGCCAAUCUUAUCUCGUCGCCUCAUAGUGCCCUUCGAGGGAUUUUCACUAAUAAGACUCUCUCAUUUUGCUUCUGUCAUCUUACGUCGCCUUAUGGUACCUGUGAAGGUUUGCACCGACAAGACUCUCUCAUUUUGUUUCUCUCGGCUUUCAUCACCUAAUGGUGCCUAUGAAGGUUUUCACCGAUAAGACUCUCUCAUUUUAUUUUCUCAGUUGGGGAUUGGAGUGUUACCGAUAAGAUUCUCUCUGCUGGGAAUUCUUUUGGCUAUCCNNNNNNNNNNNNNNNNNNNNNNNNNNNNNNNNNNNNNNNNNNNNNNNNNNNNNNNNNNNNNNNNNNNNNNNNNNNNNNNNNNNNNNNNNNNNNNNNNNNNNNNNNNNNNNNNNNNNNNNACUCAUGAUCCUCAUUUAGUCGGGGACCAGCGUGUUAUUCUCAGCUUUUAUUUGUCUGUCUUGGCACCUAUCGUAUACUGAUCGGGAUGUCUUUUUUGGACAUCAAUAUGGGUUUUAUGUGGGGAUUAAAAGAAAAGGAGAUAAAAAUUCAAAAUAACUUUUGUGGGUAAAACAUUACAACUCUUGGAAUUAAAACUCUUUUCAAAAUUUAAAAACCUAACUUCUGCCCCAGUUUUCUUGCUUGGGGGGGGGGGAGAUUUUUUAUUUUUGUGACACUUUGUCACACUAUGACCGAGUCGUGAGGCGCCUACGUAUCCUUUUUGAGCAGUCAGGUCAAACGUAGUUCGCUUGAUUCCUUUCUAUUUCUUGUGACUUUCCCUUUUGUUUUUUAUUACUUUUUUUUCUUUUUUUUUUCUUUUUUUUCUUUUCUCUUUUUUUAAGUACUUUCAUUAGUGAUUCCAAUAGAGGGGUAUGAAAUAAUAAAUAAAGCUCAAAGGGGGAAGCAAAGGUUAAAGGUUUUGGAUAGUAGAAAAAAUUGCCUUCGUCGUUUCAUUCUCCGAUAAAUGCCAAGCACCAACAAACAAACAACCAACAAUUAUAAUUAAAGAAAUUACAUAUGAUAUUUCUUAAGUGCGUCAGAAUUGAUAACCAUGUCGAUGCAUCUUCCCUCGACAUCUGUCCGACAUAAAGCACCAUUGGAUAACACCCUGGUCAUAAUAAACGGCCCUUGCCAAUUCAGGGCGAAUAUGCCCUUUGCUUCGGCUUGAUGUGGCAAGAUUCGCUUCAACAUUUGCUGCCCCAAUUCAAACUUUCUGGGACACACUUUCUUAUUAUAUGCUCUUGUCAUCCUCUUUUGAUACAAUUGGUCAUGACAUAGUGUUGUCAAUAUCUUUUCAUCAAUCAAGCUCAACUGCUCUAAUCGGGCUCUGACCCAACCGGGAAGACAAUCUGGAGGGAUAGAAUUUUAACUUCUGCUGGUAUCACUGCUUCAGUUCCGUAUACCAACGAAUAAGGAGUUGCACCUCCUGAAGUACGAAUAGUAGUGCGAUAACCCAACAAUGAAAAUGACAACUUUUCAUUCCAUUGCCUGGACCAUUCUUCCUCAAUAUCUUCUCUAUGUUCUUGUUGGCUGCCUCAACCGCUCCAUUCGGGUUUUGACCCACUCAUUAUCAUUAAUAUGCCUCUUGUAUUAUUAGCUCAUAAUUAGAUUGAUUUUUUAGACUAAGUUGAAGAUCCAUCGUGCAUGCCAUGUCAUUAGAAUCAGUAUCAAGAGGACUGUUCAGAAAGAGAAAAAGAAGAAAACAAAAUUAAAACAAAAUAAAAAGAUAAAACUUUCACUUUAUUAAACUGUGGGAUAAACAGAGUUUCAAACUUUUCCUGAAUAUAAAAUAAAAGAAAAAAUGGAUUACAACCUUGAAAUAAUCCAGACAAAAAUAAAGAAAAAUCAGAGCCCACUACUAAGACACCCUCCGGGCAGGAAGAGGAGUAGCCUUCCAAUUGUAUUGGCCCUAAUCACCACAAACUGUGCAUAUUCCCCACUGGACCCUUUUCCCAAUACCAUAACUUGCUUAUCAUCUACCUUUUCAAACUAUACCACCACUUUUCCACUGGUCGAGUUUUCUUUUGAACCAGCACGGAUCAUCAUCACUGUUUGUGAGGGUUUCUUUAGCUCCCCUCCUUCAUGCACUAGAUAGAUUAUGUGGGCUUCAUGGUGUGCCGGCAAUGUGUUCUGAUUGAUGUUGGGUGCCUCUGGUGUCUGAACCUCAAUCUUGUUGGUGUCAAUAAGAUUUUGCACUGCAUGUUUUAAUUCCAACACUUCUCGGUAUCGUGUCCGGGAGCCCCCGAAUAAUACUCACAGCUUACCGAUUGGACCAUAUUUUUGGGAAGGGGAUUUGGCAAUUUGGGCUCAACAGGACUCAACAAGCCUAACUGCCUUAGUUUUUGGAACAAGGCAGUAUAGGUUUCUCCCAACUCAGUUAAUGUUCUUGCCCUCGAACAAUACUCACAGCUCAUCGAGUGGUCCGUAUAUUUGGGAAGGGGAUUUGGCAAUUUGGGCUCAAUAGGACUCAACAAGCCUAACUACCUUAAUUUGUGGAACAAGGCAUCAUAGGUUUCUCCCAACUCAGUGAAUGUUCUAUGUACCCUUUCAUUUGUGAAAGCCUGAUUCCCACGGAAACCAGGCCCUAAAGGGUUCCUGUAGGCCCUUGGUGCUGGAUAUGUAUUCUGUGGAGGUAGAUAUGUGUUUUGGGGAGCCGGCGUGCGCCAUUGCGGGCGUGCCGAAGGCUGAGUGUAUGUUUGGGCUUGAUGGACGAAGAAGUGUGUUUCUUGUGGUGGGUAGUAAGGUUGUGGAUGGUAAUUUGGAGUGCGUAGGUAAUUUGGGUGAUGGGGUCUGGAUUGGUAAAUGAGGGGAAUGACCUCUAGAUUUGGACCAGUUGCCUGCCUCUAUUGUCGCAACCUCUUCUCUAUUUUUCUUUCCAAGCGCACCUCUAAUGCCGCUCUGAAUGGCUUGAGUGGUUGCUUUAAUCUCCGAAUAGCUUAGGAUCUUGUUGGACUUAAGUCCCUGUUCAAUCAUACCACCCAUUUUCACUACCUCGUUGAAGGAUUUGCCAACCGAUUUCACCAAGUGACCAAAGUAAGUUUCUAGAGUUUGCAGAAAGUAGUCCACCAUUUUCCCCUCUCUCAUCGGAGGAUCAACUCUGGCUGCGUGUUCUCUCCAUCGGAACCCAAAUUCUCGAAAGCUCUCCCCGGGCUUCUUCUCAAGCUUUAGCAAUGUGAGACGGUCCGGGACUAUGUCAAGGUUGUACUGGAAGUGACCUGCGAAAGCCUAUGCUAGAUCGUCCCAGGUGUACCACCUACUCGGAUCUUGUCUUACAUACCACUCCUGUGCCGACCCACUCAAACUCUGGCCUAAGUAAGCUAUCAGCAACUCGUCUUUGCCUCCUGCUCCCCUCAUCUUGCUACCAAAACCCCGCAGAUGUGCCAUAGGAUCACCUUGCCCUUCGUAUAAAUCGAACUUGGGCAUCUUGAACCCUGCCAGUAAUAGGACGUCAGGGAAAGGGCAUAGAUCCUUGUAGGCCACACUGACCUGGUUUCCUAACUCGUGCACGUUCCUGAAGGAUUGAUCCAGACUUUUAAAUUUCCGCAUCACCUCGUCCUGCUUUGGGCUCUUAGCCGGCUUUUCAAUCUCCGUCGGGACCUCAAAGUGGGGAUUAUAGGUAUGUGGAUCGGAUGCUUUGAAUGUGAGUUCAGGAGGGUAAUAUUGUGUAUCGUGAGUCUGAAACAACAACUCACUCGACGAUCUGUGCAAUGGGGCGGGGGAAGGCGCCACAAAUACGGGAACAUUUGGUGGAGGAGGAUUUCUAUUGGGUGGUGGAGCUUGGGGAUCAUAGGCAUCUCUUCCCUGAUAGUAGUGAUGGCCUUGGAAGCUUGUUGAGGGGCCGGGGGAAAGGUAUUCCAGCGUGUGUCCUGGUUGGAGAGUAGGAUUAACGGGCAGUUCAGACCCCUUUUGUGCUCUAGCCAAGGCUAGUUGCAUUUCAUUCAUUUCCAACCUCAUUUUUUCCAUUUUUUCCAUGGCUUCCUUCAACGUCUGAUUUGUCGUUUUUUCCGAUUCAACACUGUUGUCUGAGCCAGUCAUGCUUUCUGGAAUGGGCCCUUUUGAUCUUGUUUGAUAAUGGUACGGUGCCAUUACUCUCUAACAAACUACCUGGUACUAGAAUGAAAAAACAACAAACUUGUUAGCAUUAAAGUUUCAACAGAUAUUGCAAUUGCACGUUGGGGGAUGCAAUGUUCUUAGGCAAUAAACCAUUUCUAGCAUAUUUUUGCUUCGACCGCAUGCAUUGUCCCGGCUUAUUUUAUUUUCCUCUUUCAAGUGUUUCAGAAAACCUCUCUUUUUCUUCUUCUCUCUUUCUUUCAGGUUUCUCACACUUCUUUUCUCUUAUUCACUUUCUCUUUUUAUUUUUUAACGGUGAUUGAAUCUUAGGUGGAUUGCCUAGGUAUCAUGUCCCCGAUGAAUCAGACCAGGCGUAGUUCGUGUAAGUGCAAGGUAAAAAAACAAUAAAACAUAUUUUGAAAUUUUUAAUUUUUCACAGUAAAACACAAUUUGAUUACAAUGAUUAAAAAAAUUGGCAAACUUAGACCGAACUAAUAGACUUUGGUGAAAGAACUAACAGACUUGAACAUAAAAGAACCAACAUACUCUAACCAAAAAAAUACAAAUUUAAGAAUAGACUAACAAAUUCCUUCCCCUAUAUGCCAAGUUUAACCAAAUGACUAUUUUUUGCAAACAUGGCGCCUUCUCAAUUUCACAUGAAUUUUGAGGCCGGGAAGGAUUUUUUUACAAACUUGUCCGUUCUUUUACGAAAAUAGCCUUUCGACAACUGAAAGAUACUCUAAGGCUAUCUCGGCAAGAACGGUUUAAUACACUGCCGAAGCUGGCUCGGGUUAUUUUGACCAAAAAUUCAAACGACAUUCACUUGCCCACUGACUCUUUCCUUAUUUUUAAAAGUUACAAUAAAAUACUGGGUUUUGCAAACACGGACUUUCAUCACCUCGGGGAUGAAGAUUUUAAAGUUGCAUUAGCUAACAGGCCAAAAUCCUAAAACAAUGACUUUUGGCAAGAAUGGCUUAAGACAUUGCCAAAGCCGGCUUGGCUUAUUUUGACCAAAAAUUCAAACGACAUUCACUUGCCAACUGAUUUUUUUUUUCAAAUUAAAAUAAAAGGCCAGAUUUUGCAAAGACGGUCUUUCAGCACUUCGGGGACGAAGAUUUUAAGGAUGUGUGGGUCAACUGGCCAAAAUCUAAAAAAUGACCCCAAGAUGGAUGUUUAUGCAAAGUUAGCUUUCCGGCGUCCCUUUUGGGAACAUUCGGCUAUGUUUGGCAAAAGAUAGCGUCACCCGACUUCAUUAUGAUGAAAAUAAAAUUUUGACAAUUUUUGCUAUUUUUUGCAAAUGGGAGGUUGGACCCGAUGAGGGUUGACCACGUAUCUCACAUCCGAUGAGAAUCAAAUUAGCGUUGUUCGGGCAAAUUACACGAACUAUUUUUAAAACAAGACUCAUUUUCAUUUUCAUUUUUGGCAUUUCAUAAGCAAAUAACAAAACCACCUUCAAAGCAUGACUCUUUUCAUUUUAAUUUUGGACAUUUCAUAAAUAAAUAAAAUAAAUAAACUAUUUUUAAAAAAACAAGACUCUUUUUUUUCGUAUUCAUUUUUCUGGCAAGAUAAACUAUUUUUUUUUAAAACAAGAUAGAAUAAUGACUCUUUUUUUUCUUUUCAAAAACCAAUUUUCCAAAAAUAAAAAUAAAUUUUUUUUUCUAUUUUUCCUUUGCUUUUAAUAAAAAAACUAUUAAAAAUAAGGUAUUUUUUUCUCAAAAUUUCGGUAGAGUUCCGACUGUACUUGUACAUUGGUUUUUUUUAUCUAAAUUAAUCAUCUAACUCUCUAACUGUUAUUUUUCUCUUUUUCUCUUUUUCUAAAUUUUCCAAAAUUUUCUAACAUUCCCGUGAUUCAGAAGCCGGUCAACAUGCGGGCCCGAGACAAAUAAAUGCACGGAAAAUAAAUAAGAUGCAUCAGGAUGGUCUUUUCAUUUCAGGUUGCUAGUCCUACACGGACCCAACCCCUGUGUUGAGUCCCCUAAGUCAAAUGCAACCUGAUGCAAAUAAGUGUUCCUAUUAGGGAUCCGACAUGAAAUUUUGUUAUACUAGGUUUUAAACUUGGGUUUUUGUUCUAGACCUCGCUUACCCAAGCGGACAACUCGAGUCGAAGAGGGGGAAACUUUUCGGGAACCAAAAGGCCAUCCGGCUUAGUAACUUGUCCGAGCCUCUUUUUAUUUCAGGGUAUGACACUAACAGAAAAGGGAGUCUCAACCAGUAAGCACAUCCCCGAAGGUGAAAAGAGAAGGGUUCGGCAUAGUUUAUAUAUACAGUCAAUAAUAUCAAAGCGGUAACAAAAUAUCAUUUGCACAUUAAGCACAUAUCACAUGAAUAUAUCAGAUAAUAAAGAAAAAAUAUAAUAGUUUAUCAUAUGCUCGAAUUUCUACCCCUGAUCCAGUGGUCCUGGGUUGUUGUACCCAGCAGAGUUGCCAGAGCUGUCACACCUCCUUUUUCGCGCCGCGCAAGGGAGUUUUUUCCAAUUAAAGGACAAUCGAAACGAGAUUUAUUAUUAAGAUUCAGAGUCUCCACUUGAGAGAUUUGUGGUGUCCCAAGUCACCGGUUUUAAUCCCGAAUCGAGGAAAAGAAAGACUCUGUUUAACAAUCUGUGCACUAGAAAUCCAGAUAAGGAAUUCUGUUAAUCCGGGAGAAGGUGUCAUGCAUUUCCGAGUUCCGUGAUUCUAGCACGGUCGCUCAACUGUCAUAUUCGACUUAAUUAUCUGAUUUCAACAAUUAUGAACUUAUAUUCAAAUUUUAAAUUCUAACCGUCUAUUAUUGUUAUUAUUAUUUUGAAAGACUUGCAACGUCGUGACAAUACAUCUCGAACCACGUUACAAUCAAUGUACCCGUGGUUGUUGAUACAUAUCGACUCCGUUGAAAUUUUGAUUUAGGUCACAUAAAUGAACACCCGAGUUUAGGGAGGUAAUGUUAUUUAAAGUACGCGCCUAAUAGAGUGUAACACAUUGUAGUCUUUUGGGAAGGCCGUGAAAUUUACUAAACAGUCCUUCCCAAUUUUCUAAAUAUUUUUAAAACUCUAUCGAGGUCCCCGCAAUUUGUGCAUUUUUAUUUGGCGAGGCACGCUUCAUUUAUUUUAAAGGGUAAUCCUAGAGUGAUUACAUUUUUCUAUUUAACUUCGUCUCUAAAAAUAAAAGAGAAAAUUCCUAAUUAAUUACAUGCUUAAAAGGCUACUCUAUAUUAGUACAAAAGGUGUUCCCUCACAAGCCGACUAAACGACAAAUUUAUUCUACAAAUUAUAGAACUAACUGCAAUUUGACAAAAACUAAUAAAACAGAAAAUAACAACAAAUAUUAAUCAACAACUUACUUUUCUAUUUCAUUUCAACUUUCAACUUCCAAUUCGAGUUUACGUCAACACAUGAUUUUUAAAAUGUGUACCUGGUAUUGAAAAGACGAGGAAUAUGGAAAUCAAUAGGGCGGUAAAAGUAUAACAACAACAACAGUAACAACAAGCAGUAGCUUCAAGACCUCAAUCCAGAAAAUCCCACCAAUACAGAGAAAAGCUAGAAAAAUAGAGAAGAAAAAUAUUCCGGAAAUAUCUCUUUGUUUUCUCUUUCUAGCUUUGAACUCUCUUCAACUCUCAAAAGAAACUCUCAAAAAUCAAAUUCUGUCGUGUAUACUGCUGUGUCCAGAAUGUAUAUCGAGUGUAUACUGCUGAAACUCCAAAGACUAAAUUCUGUCCGUGUAUACUGCUGUAUCCAGAGUGUAUACUGCUCUCUUUUCUCCCUUAUUUUUCUUCUCCUCCUAUUUUUUCCUCUAUUCCCU